AGUGGACGCUGGCGGUAGGCCUAACACAUGCAAGUCGAACGGCAGCACAGUAAGAGCUUGCUCUUACGGGUGGCGAGUGGCGGACGGGUGAGGAAUACAUCGGAAUCUACUUUUUCGUGGGGGAUAACGUAGGGAAACUUACGCUAAUACCGCAUACGACCUACGGGUGAAAGCAGGGGAUCUUCGGACCUUGCGCGAUUGAAUGAGCCGAUGUCGGAUUAGCUAGUUGGCGGGGUAAAGGCCCCCCAAGGCGACGAUCCGUAGCUGGUCUGAGAGGAUGAUCAGCCACACUGGAACUGAGACACGGUCCAGACUCCUACGGGAGGCAGCAGUGGGGAAUAUUGGACAAUGGGCGCAAGCCUGAUCCAGCCAUACCGCGUGGGUGAAGAAGGCCUUCGGGUUGUAAAGCCCUUUUGUUGGGAAAGAAAAGCAGCAGGUUAAUACCCCGCUGUUCUGACGGUACCCAAAGAAUAAGCACCGGCUAACUUCGUG
This 492-nucleotide ribosomal RNA is filed under the name uncultured bacterium. RNAcentral's name for it is "partial 16S ribosomal RNA". It matches the Rfam family "Bacterial small subunit ribosomal RNA", at positions 29 to 507 of the family's 1533-position model. The record is from RNAcentral.